This is a long non-coding RNA of Thalassophryne amazonica, 95 nucleotides long. RefSeq lists it as uncharacterized. The record is from RefSeq and is a predicted model, not a curated record. The transcript has 3 exons. NCBI's taxonomy places the organism in Eukaryota, Metazoa, Chordata, Actinopteri, Batrachoidiformes, Batrachoididae.
GGAGAAGAUCUCAAGAGAGGGAGGUUACCAAGGUUGGGCAGUGCCCACCCUGAGAAAAGCUCUGUCCACCCAAUGAAAACUCAAGAUAAACUGAU